CCGAAAUUUCUAGUUAUGCAAUCAGGUCAACGGAUACAAGGAGCAAAACCUCACACAACUCCUAACAUGACACUACACUCCAAUGUAACACAUCCUUCAACACAUAACAAGAGUCUCGAAAACUCAUCUAUCUCUGACCCUCGUAAUCACAAUGAUACCAAUUAUGGUAGUACAUCUGGACGCUCUUCCCACUAUUGGGUGAAGUCAAACUCCUCUCACCACAAAGAGUAUUGAAGCAAUUUUGAACAUCCUCUGUCCUGACAUACUAAGGAAACUAAACAAUGAUGAUGUGUCAAGAAUCCCCUGGAGCUUUACUCUCGGAAACAGGAGGCACCAAGUACAGAACUCUGUCACAUCGACAACAUAG
RNAcentral lists this long non-coding RNA (367 nucleotides) under Hordeum vulgare. RNAcentral's name for it is "long non-coding RNA (HVUL_LNC010320)". The record is from RNAcentral. Lineage: Eukaryota; Viridiplantae; Streptophyta; Magnoliopsida; Poales; Poaceae.